GACGGGGGGUCCAAGCGUUGUUCGGAAUUAUUGGGCGUAAAGCGUGUGUCGGUGGCUUUGAAAGUUGGAUGUGAAAGCCUUGGGCUUAACCCAAGAAGUGCAUUCAAAACUACAAAACUUGAGUAUGGAAGAGGGUCGUGGAAUUCCUGGUGUAGUGGUGAAAUACGUAGAUAUCAGGAGGAACACCGGCGGCGAAGGCGGCGACCUGGUCCUAUACUGACACUCAAACACGAAAGCGUGGGGAUCAAACAGG
RNAcentral lists this ribosomal RNA (253 nucleotides) under uncultured bacterium. Its description in RNAcentral is "partial 16S ribosomal RNA". It matches the Rfam family "Bacterial small subunit ribosomal RNA", at positions 524 to 776 of the family's 1533-position model. The record is from RNAcentral.